This 220-nucleotide ribosomal RNA is filed under the name Escherichia coli. Its description in RNAcentral is "partial 16S ribosomal RNA". It matches the Rfam family "Bacterial small subunit ribosomal RNA", at positions 1 to 217 of the family's 1533-position model. Lineage: Bacteria; Pseudomonadati; Pseudomonadota; Gammaproteobacteria; Enterobacterales; Enterobacteriaceae. The record is from RNAcentral.
AAAUUGAAGAGUUUGAUCAUGGCUCAGAUUGAACGCUGGCGGCAGGCCUAACACAUGCAAGUCGAACGGUAACAGGAAGCAGCUUGCUGCUUCGCUGACGAGUGGCGGACGGGUGAGUAAAGUCUGGGAAACUGCCUGAUGGAGGGGGAUAACUACUGGAAACGGUAGCUAAUACCGCAUAACGUCGCAAGACCAAAGAGGGGGACCUUCGGGCCUCUUG